Molecule: ribosomal RNA, 1381 nt
Filed under: uncultured bacterium
Lineage: Bacteria
Description: partial 16S ribosomal RNA
Rfam family: Bacterial small subunit ribosomal RNA
Source: RNAcentral
AGUUUGAUCCUGGCUCAGGACGAACGCUGGCGGCGCGCCUCACGCAUGCAAGUCGAACGAGCGAGAGAGAGCUUGCUUUCUCGAGCGAGUGGCAAACGGGUGAGUAACGCGAGAGGAACCUGCCACAGGGAGGGGGACAACAGGUGGAAACCAUCUUGCUAAUACCGCAUAAGCCCACUGCUCGGCAUCGAACAGAGGGAAACAGGAGCAAUCCGCUUUGAGCAUGGCCUCUCGUCCGAUUAGCUAGUUGGUGAGGUAAUGGCCCACCAAGGCAACCAUCGGUAGCCGGACUGAGAGGGUGAACGGCCACAUUGGGACUGAGACACAGCCCACACUCCUAGGGGAGGCAACAACGGGGAAUAUUCCACACUGGGGGAAACCCUGAUGCACCGACGCCGCGUGGAGGAAGAAGGUCUUCGGAUUGUAAACGCCUGUUGUUGAGGAAGAUAAUGACCGUACUCAACAAGGAAGUGACGGCUAAUUACGUGCCAGCAGCCGCGGUAAAACGUAGGUCACAAGCGUUGACCGGAAUUACUGGGUGUAAAGGGAGGGCAGGCGGGAAGACAAGUUGUAAGUGAAAUAUAUGGGCUGGUCCCAUAAAAUGCUUUAAAAAAUGUUUGUCUUGAGUAGUGCAGAGGUAGGAGGAAUUCUUGGUGUAGCGGUGGAAUGAGUAGAUAUUGUGAGGAACACCUGUGGUGAAGGCGGCAUCCUGGGCACCAAUUGACGAUGAGGCUGGAAAGUGUGGGUAGCAAACAGGAUUAGAUACCGUGGUAGUCCACACCGUAAAUGAGGAUUAGUAGGUGUUGGAGGAUUGACCCAUUCAUUGCGACAGUUAUCGCAUUAUGUGAUCCACCUGGGGAGUAGGCCCGCAAGGAUGAAAUUCAAAUUAAUUGGGGGCGGCCCGCACAGUCAGUGGAGUAUGUUGUUUUAUUGGAUGCAAGAAGAAGACCAUUCAUAAGUCUUUCCUUCUUGAGACGAUGUGGGAAGCUGUGUUUUUCUUCCGGAGGCAGAGACAGGUGGUGCAUGGUUGUCGUCAGAUUGUGUCGUGAGAUUUUGGUUUAAGUCGGGGGACGAUCGUAUCCGUUCCCGUCUGCUAUCUAAGCAAGAGGAGUCUGUUCAGCGCCUCCCGCUAAACAAAAGGGAGGAAUGGUGGGGAGGUAGUCAAAUUUUCAUACUCAUCUUCUGCAGGGGGUACGAGCAAGUCCUAUCAAUGGUGUGACCUAAGAGAAGCAAGAAUCCGAGGGGUGAUCAAAACUCAGAAACAAUGUCCCUGUUCGGAGUGCAGGUUGCAAUUUGCUUGCUUGAAGUAGGAAUUGUUAGUAAUGGUGGAUCAGCAUGCCGCGGGGAAUAAGUUCCCGGCCUUUGUACUCACCGCCCUUCA